Molecule: non-coding RNA, 73 nt
Organism: Megalops atlanticus (tarpon)
Lineage: Eukaryota; Metazoa; Chordata; Actinopteri; Elopiformes; Megalopidae
Source: the annotation of a GenBank genome assembly
UGCAGUGUAGCAUAGUGGUAUGGCGCAGGGUUUGUAACCAAGAGGCUGCUGGUUCAAUUCAGGGGCACUGCUG